GAAAUAGUCCAAGAUGGCGUCGAUUGCUACGAGGCCUCUGAGAGAAUAUUUUAUUUUCCCGAAUCCUUCCAACAUGAAGUAUUUACCGAGCCAACGACUUCUCUGAAGAUAUAUUUGUAGUUCAUUGUGACAAAGAAAAUUCUAAUUCAUCAUGAUGGAAAAGAAGGUUAAGCUGAGGACAGUGAACUCUUGUAUCACAUGUAUACUGUGUAGAGGAUAUCUCAUCGAGGCCACAACCACAACUGAAUGUUUACAUACGUUCUGUAAGAGCUGCCUUGUACGGUACUUAGAGGACCACAAUUCCUGUCCAAAAUGCCAAACACUCAUUCACCAAAGCCACCCCAUGAACUAUAUCAGCCAUGACCGGACUAUGCAGGACAUAGUAUACAAAUUGGUGCCAAAUCUUCAACAAAAGGAAUUAAGACGCCAGCAAGAAUUCUUCAGGAAGCAUGCCUCGCAGGGAAUUAAACCAGAAUUAGAAGAUGUGAAUGAUAACCACACAGAGAAUGUUGUGUCAGUGAAGGAAGAGAACAAAGACUUCCAUCGUCAUGACGAGCAGCUGAAUGUGUGCUUAGAGUGUCAAGGAACUAUGAAAAACUUAAAAAGGAAAUUCUUACGAAUCUCGUCACAAGCCACUGUCAGUCACCUAAAGAAGUUUGUGGCUCUAAAGCUGUACAGUGAUCAAACGAAAUAUACCAAUAUUGAAAUUUUGUGCAAUGAUGAACUACUAGGCAAACAUCAUACUCUAAAGUUUGUGGCAGUCACAAGAUGGAGGGUCAAGGAUGGUCCAUUACUGCUUCACUAUCGACAGAAAACAUUGGACUUUUAAUAAAAAAAAAGUGCUAAUUUCCCAUAAUCCUGUCUUGUGCAGAUGUCAUAAGUACGCUGUUCUUCCCGCAGAAAUUAAACAUCGGAUGUCUGAAGUGUGCAGCUCUUUCUGCAGAAAGUUAAUAUCAGAUGUCUGGAUUGCUCCAUUGUCUCUGUGAAAAGUUAAACAUCAUAUCUCUCAAAGCUCUGUUCUUCUGAAGGGUACAGUUCUCUACAUUGGAUGUUUAAAGAGUGGUGUUCUCUCUGCAGAAAGUAAACAUUGGAUGUCUGCAAUAACAUUAUUCUCUCUGUGGAAUCACUGAUCUGUCAUAACCAUUGAGCACCACAACAAUGAACCACACUCUGACAUAUACCUGCUGUACCAUAUCAAAACAGUUGCAUUGUUGGUUGGUAUUAUGGCCGACUCUCCUGCAAAUUUUACCCUCUAAAUUGAGUGGGACCAGUUCUAUUUGAUGCACAUCUGUAUUUUAAUCUACUAAUCGUGUCUAUGAUAGAAUCAAAGGAUGGACCAAUAUAUAACCGCUAUGGGAAGGGCCUGUGUUUUGCAGGUCUACAUAUAAUGUGUAUAGACCAGCACUAGUCUAUCUAUGAUACUGAAGCUCUUCAAACUGUUAGUACUAAAUGUAUAUAGACUAGCACUAGUCUAUCUAUGAUACUGAAGCUCUUCAAAUUGUUAGUACUAAAUGACUGUUACAGAAUCCUCCUUCAGCCGAUGGUCAAUUGGUGACCAGCUGUAGACGUGAACAUUUAUUAAAUAAACUGCAAGAGUCACGAUGCUGAAACUAGAAAUUUGUUAUUUUAUUCAUGAGAAUGAUGAAUAUUUCUUUAAUUCUGGUCACCAAGCUGUAAUUUGAGUUUAGAAGUCAUUCUGGUGUUAACUUUAAAGAAAGUCUUAAGACAUUAAAGUUUGUUUCCUCUAUAUAAUACUACAGGUAUUAUUUACAAUGCUUCCCGACUUUAAUGGUGCAUACUAUUUGCUGGACAACAAGGAAUAUCUUCUAUCUGUUUAUUUUGUUAUAGAUUUUACAAAAAAGGAUUGAUACCAGGAUUAUAUCAUGUGUCACUAGCUUGCUGACAUGUGUAGUUAAAAUUCAUAACAUUUUCCUAUUUAUAGAAAAAAAAAGAUAAAUAUGACUGUCUGUCAUUUGAUAUACAUGUACUGGUAAAUGAUCCCAACAAGUAAUAAACUAUUUUCUUACAUAUUAUUGAGUUUGAUACAGUCUAUUCCAGUUGAAUAACUACACAAAUUAUGAACUUAGCAUGCAGAUUACAUGUUAACAUCACAGUAAUAAUCAAUGCUGUAAAUUAUGGUUGAUUUAAAAACUGAGUAUUUGAAAUUUGACAGUUGUUGGUUUGCAUUUCAUUACAUAAAUAGAACUAGAAAUACUAUAUCUCAUUUACCUAUAAUAUGAUGUUGAGUUAAAGUUCCAGAGUUUAUGGUAUAUAUAUCAACUGAUUUUAGUGAUUUCUUUCACGGAACGUAUUGGAGACAGUUUAGAUUGGCGAGAGUUGACAUGUAGGUAAUAUCUACAAGUACCCUUUGUGUGUAUCUCUGGAGACAGGUAACUUGUGUGUAUGUUUUUAAAUCUGGAUACGUACGUGUACUUGUAUUGUUUGUGUGUGUCUGAAUACAUUGUUUAUGUGUGACUGUGUAUCUGGGUACAUUGUUUAUGUGUGACCGUGUCUCUGGGUACAUUGUUCAUGUGUUACUGUCUGGGUUCAUUGUUUAUGUGUGACUGUGUCUCUGGGUAAAUUGUUCAUGUGUGACUAUGUAUCUGGGGACAUUGUUCAUGUGUGACUGUCUGGGUUCAUUGUUUAUGUGUGA
RNAcentral lists this unclassified non-coding RNA (2653 nucleotides) under Mizuhopecten yessoensis (Yesso scallop). RNAcentral describes it as "polycomb group RING finger protein 3-like, transcript variant X2". Lineage: Eukaryota; Metazoa; Mollusca; Bivalvia; Pectinida; Pectinidae. The record is from RNAcentral.